GGGCGGGACGGCCACUAAAGGGUCCCUGAGGGGAGGGCCCUGAGCCAGACCAGCGGACCACAGCAGUCCUUGAGGCCACUAUCUCCACCCCUCACCUCCCCACCCCGCUCCCGUGGCCUGCUUUUAGGAAGCCUCGCUCUGGGCCCCAGCAAUCCCAGCCCUCCCCAGGGCUGUCCCAGCUCUUGGCUCCAGGCCUGCCCCUCCACCUCACCCCCACCCCACCCCGGGCCUCUCCUGGGCAUCAGGAGGGCAGGCAAGGGUCCAGCUGGAGCAAAGCUGGAGGGCCAGGAAGCCUCUCACUCCCUGCUGGCUGCAGCACCAGAAAACCAUCUGGACUGAGAACCACCACGUUUAUUAGAUUCAUUCUCUCCACAACGCCCCCCCCCCCCGCCCCCACCUUCCAUCUCCCAUCUGACCCUCCCCUCAUCCCUCAGCCACCUAACACUACACCAGCUCCAGCUGGCAGCUUUUGAGUGGACUCAGGGUGCGGUUUGUGGUACGGCUGAAGGUGUCCACCUCCGGCACAAACUUCUCAGCAGGCACAGUCAGCUUCCGACGGGUGUCCAUGCACUUGGUGUCCAACAGCAUAGAGUUGGCCUUGCAGGCGAUGUCAGCCUGCAGCCUGGCCAGGUGCUUGUAGAGAGCAUCCAGAGCAUCCCUAGGGAGGAGUCACAAACAACCCCUCACUCCUGCAUGAUCCUGGGAGGCCGGGGCAGAGCUCUCUGGCCCUCAGUCAGGAAGACAUCGAGGAAGCCAGAAGGCAACAAAAGGCCCUGUGGGUGGGCGGUGUCUCCCUGCCCCUGCUGCCCACUCCCCAAACUUACUGUGCUUGUGCCAGCUUCUGCUUCAGGGCAGCAAUGGUUGCCUCUAAUUGGUGAACCUCGUCAGUGAGGCCAUGCUGUGCCUAGAGGCAGCUUUGGGCCAGGACCCUGAGGCUCUAAGAGGAGAAGCCCUGUUCUCCAUCCAAGGAGAGGACGACUUAGUUUUGCAGGGGACGCAGAGAGGGAGCAUGCGUGUGAGUGGGGGCGAGGGGAGAGACAGAGAGACAAGGAUAGAAGGUCUGAAGCAGGCUCCACGCUGACACCAGAGACCGGCAUGCAGGGUUUGAACUCACCAACCAUAAGAUCAUGACCUGAGCCAAAGUCUAUUGCUUCAUCGACUGAGGCACACAGGCUGGCCUGGUCCUCUUCUGAGGACUGUGCUGAAUGAUCCUAGGAGACACAUUUUGAACUCAAGCAUUAUUCUUAGAGGAAGAUCUUUUCAUAGAGACAAGCACGAGAAAAGGGCUACUGAGUAAAGGUGUUGCAAUGAUCUUUGUAAACCGUGGAUACUGUAGAAGUAACAAAGUGAUGGAAGAUAGGAAUCCAAUCAUCUUCCUUCUACAGAUAAGACUAAAGAUUUCAGUCCCCCUUAUGAUAAAAACAUCUUAUAAAAUAUCAUAAAAAUGAUCAUGUCCUUUCCUGGCAUUGACAGAUUAACCUAGUUAAUUUUCUAGAAGCAUCUGCAAGGUAUGCAAGUCUCAGCAAUUAUGAAGAAUCUGUCAAGUGAUCAGACAACGGAAACCACAAGAACUUAAAGUUCAAGAGGCACGGCCCCCCAAAAGCAAAAUCACCUUGGACUCUUGGACUGCCACCUCAUUUCUGCACAUGCUUAAGUGUACUGCACUGAGCACCCCUUUCUAUGAAGAAAGCUCAAGCCCCUGAACUCUAAUAUAAUUGGUUAUUUGUUCUGUCCA
Long non-coding RNA from Neofelis nebulosa (Clouded leopard), 1735 nucleotides. RefSeq lists it as uncharacterized. The record is from RefSeq and is a predicted model, not a curated record. NCBI's taxonomy places the organism in Eukaryota, Metazoa, Chordata, Mammalia, Carnivora, Felidae. The transcript has 6 exons.